This is a long non-coding RNA of Corvus hawaiiensis (hawaiian crow), 281 nucleotides long. RefSeq lists it as uncharacterized. The transcript is spliced from 3 exons. Lineage: Eukaryota; Metazoa; Chordata; Aves; Passeriformes; Corvidae. The record is from RefSeq and is a predicted model, not a curated record.
GGCUGCAAUUAGCUGGGUUCGUUAAUCGGCUCCUUCGGUUAAUUGGUUCCGUUGGGUAUCGCUGGGGAACCCCCCCUACAGGAGUUGGCUCCGUGUCCCCGUCGGGGCUGGGUCGGUGCUCGUCAGUCUCGUCGUUGCUGCGGGGCCAGGGCUCUUGCCGUGGAAGCUGAAGGCCUGCUCGAAGAGCACCUUGUCCUCCACCGUCCACUCGUCCGGGAAGGGCGUGAAGUUGGCCAGGUCAGCCAAGGACUUCUCCACGUCGUGUUUGUGCCACAGCAGCA